UUAGUUAUUUUAGUUAAUUAGAUAAGCAUGCGAGACUAAGUGAUAAUAUAAUAAAUAAACAUUACACAAUAAAUAAAGAGAUGAGCAAGGGGAUAGAAAUUUGCACAAUUAGAUAAGCAAACCAACUUUAUUUUAAUUAAACUACCCCAAAUAAAUAUAAUUAUAAACAGAUAAAGGGACAAAAGGAAAGGGAGACGCUGAAGGACUUUAGGAUCAGUACUCGACUUUUCUUUAUUUCGGUCGGCUUCUCGUAGGGACAGACAAAACCAAGGUUUGUCAUUUAGACCGAGUCGAUGUCAUCAUAUCCAUAGGGCCUAGACUACCCCUACCCUACCACCGCAUGCUUAACGUCUCUACAAGGUGCCUAUCGUCCCCGCUUAAGGUCCAAGAGGCAUUGGACUACUAUUAGGGUGGGUAUAGACUAAAAAGAAAUAUAAUAGGCCCAUCUAGACACCAAGUCAAACAAUUUGGACGAGCAUUUAGCACAUAGAGUCUCAUGUUAGCCUCUAGAUUUUAUUAAACAUGCUAACAAACACAAGUAAUGUGAAAGGAAUCAUGCUAAGUGUGUGUGCAUACAAACAUGUAUUGACAACAUAAUUAUAACGAUUUAUUUUAUGAAUUUUAAAGGGGCGGAAAAUUGAUACAAGUGCAAAAGAUUUAAUGAUUUAAAAGAGUGGCAUAACAAUGAUUAGGAUGCGGGAAAUAGUUUAAGCAGUAGCAGAUUUAAAGUCUUUAGAUGAGCCAGUGGCAGAAUGUCAUUGAUUAAUAUGCAGAAACUGAUUUAAUUUAUUUUAAGUGGCAAAACAGUGCAGAGAUUAGUUUGAACAAAAUUUAAUCGGGAUAGCAAGUAGCAGAUGCAGAAAAAUGACUUUUUAGUAGCUGAUUUUCAGUACCUAAACAGAGCAGAAUCUAAUUGGUUUGAGCCAGAUUCAAUCUAGGCAGUAGAUAAUAAUUUUUAAAAUGAAACAGGAUUUCUCUCCUUUUAUUUAAUAAUAUGCUGAUUAACAUCUCAACUUGUUAAUUAUGUCCUAUAGGCGUGAUUUCUAAGUGUGAAUAUGCUGAAAAUAUUGUCAAACCCAUAAGCAUAAUAUCCAUUUCAUUUAAACAAAUUGUUAACCAUGUAGGCAUGAUAUUUAAUUAAUAUGUAACAAAAUUUACAUCUAUAUGCAUACAUACUGCACUUCUAAAAUUAUUUAGAUCCUAUAGGCAUGAUAUCUAUUUCAUUUAGACAGAUUAUUAAACACUUUAGGCGGAACUUUAUGGCAAACAUGAUUUAUGUAUUUCUGGACAUUUUAUUGGCAUGACAUUAAUCGUGACUUAAUUCCAAAUAGGUUAACAUGUUAGCAACAUGACCAAACUGAUUUGCUCAAAUUAUAUUAAAGUCCUAGAAGCAUGAUGUCUAAGUAGUAUAAACCAAAUUUCGAAUUUGAACAACAUUAGCAUGUCUGACAAGAUUCUACGAGUUCAAGAUCAAGCAAAUUUGAACAUAUAUUCAUGAUAUGUCGAUUAAUCUGAAAAGGUUAUGAACAAAGGUUAAUUUUAGGUCAAUAUUAAAAUAUAUUCUAAUAUGCUUGCAAGGUUUACGAUUUAAGCAACGUAGGCAUGUUUUAGCAAUCACACAUAGCAAAAAAUAAACUAGACUAGAAAUGAAAAGAAAACAAUUAGCACGUAUAUCCCCCUCCCCCUUAGACGAUCCCCCAAAUUAUUCAUAUAUAGGAGAGUUUAGAGAGUUAUACAAAAUAUUACAAACCGAACAAAAGCAAAUAGUAACGACAUAAUAUAAUCCAAAGUAAACUAUUAAACAGAAAUAAGUUCUAUCCGGUAUCCCGCCUUAAGCGACUUUUCAUUCUUGAACUUGAGUUCAGAACCUAUUAAACAAAAUAAUACCAAACACAAGAUUAUAGCAUAAUAGUAACUAUAUAGAAACGUAAUAAAUAUUCACAACAAACACACGAGUUUCGAAUCAUAGCACAUAUAAGAACACACAUUAAUAAGGAAAGGAUAAGGAGGUUAACCCGGAUGCUUCCUUUUCGAACACACAACAAUAUUCACAAUUAAUAAUGCAGUACGAAAUUUAAACUAAUGAAGAAGAACUAACCUAGUAUGCAGAAAAUUAUUAUCAGCAGUGAAGUCAACCUAAUUCGAUACUCGACCCGAACACAACAAAACCGAAUAGAGAAGCACUUCUUAGAAUGUUCACCGGAUUUUUAUUUUUUAGAGCAGAGAGUAUUUUCUUUUUAAGGUAUUCAAGAGUAAGGCGUGAGCAAUGUGUGUAGACCGUGUGUAUGAGAGGUGACCCUUAACUAAUGAAAGGAAGGGUCAUUUAUAUACUAUCAGAGUACAGACCAAAUAAAGGAAGGGAAUUAAAAGGGAAUCAAUUAAUAUUUUUCUUAUUUUGAAAGAGCCACAAUUUAAAAAAAAAAAAUUUUUUACCAAAUAUAAAGCAAGUAAGAAAUCUGGUUAAGCUUAAUUAAGGUGAGAAUAUAUCCACUAACACAUUUUCCUUAUUAAGAAGGAAGCCAAAAUCAGACUUGUUUUAAUUUAUUUUUACCAAAUAUAAACAAGUAAGAAUCUAUUUAAAACUAAGGCACCUAAAAUAACACCGCCAAACAAAUUGCAUAUCAUCAACCAAAAGGAAUAAAAUUAUUUUAAGAAGGACCAUAUCACGGCUCAAACCAAUAUUACAAAUUAACAUCCCUGCAUAUUUUAUCAAGAAGUAAAUACGGCAAUAGCAUCAAUAUAAUAUGAUUAAGGUAACGAAAUCAAUUAAGGUCACCCUAUUAGCUAUGAUAUUAUUCAUUUGAAGACACUUUAAAAGAUGACUAUUCAAGGGAAGGAAUAAAUUUACAGCCCCAAUCCCUUAUCAUAGUAAAACAGUGAGCAAAUUGGUAGGAAUCAAUUAUUUCAGCAUAGAGGACAACUAAAUAAGUCCAAAUCAGCGACUAGAGGAAACAAUCAGAAAAUGGUAAGUUAAACAUCUGUUAUCAAUUUACUAGAGCAAGUAUUAAGGUGCCAAUCACAAAGGCCAAUCAAUAAGAUAAAGAGUAUGCGAUUAAACAUUAUCAUAAUCAAAUUCCAAAAUUAAUUCGAUAAUAUUCUACACUAUAAUUAAGCAAGACAAACAAUUUCAACAUGGUGUAAAGUCAAUUAAGGAAUGAAAAUAUGCAAAGGUUAGUGGACAAUAAAAUUCAGAUUAAAACCAAUUUUUGAAAAGAAUCAGUGAUUAGCAAGUUAAUACCAGCAUAGGUUCAAUAAGCUGUCAACCCAAAAGUUUAUGCAUACAACGGAACGAAUUCCUAUCAUUCAAGCAUCAAGCACAUAAAAGCAAUCAUAUGAAAAAUAUAAUUUAAAAAGUAGGAACAACAUAGGGUUAAAUAGAUGAAGUAAUAAUUGAUCGAAAGAAAAUACCGAGACGGAUCUGUUGAGAUCCGUCUUCCACCGAUCCUAAUUUCGGAUUUCGCCGGAGCUCGCUUGGUCGGACUGUUGUUGCUGUUUCGCCGGCAGCUGCCUUGGAGUUGUUGUCGUCUUCGUCAUCACUCAGGUGGUUCGCCUGGCUGCUGUCUGGAGCUGCUGGAGUUCGCUGGUUGCAGCUGCUACUGGCGCUGCUGGUUGCUGGUCGGAGCUGCUGUCCACGCCGGCGCUGCCCUUGCUGGUUGCUGCUGCUGCCAGUGUUGCUGGCAGCUUCUGCUGCUGUUUCUCGCCGGAAGGGAGGAGAAAUGAGAAAGAUGAGAUGGAGAAGAAGGGAGGAGAGGGAAGGAGAAGAGAGCAACGAAGAGAGGGAGAGAGAAACGGCUGCCACCAGCAGGUGGUGGCAAUUUUCGCCGGAAAAAAUGGAGAGGAGAGUUGAGAGGCGGCUGCUAGAGAGAGGGAGAGGAUGAGUGAAUG
RNAcentral lists this long non-coding RNA (3885 nucleotides) under Solanum tuberosum (potato). RNAcentral's name for it is "long non-coding RNA (STUB_LNC002678)". The record is from RNAcentral. Lineage: Eukaryota; Viridiplantae; Streptophyta; Magnoliopsida; Solanales; Solanaceae.